Molecule: long non-coding RNA, 237 nt
Filed under: Ananas comosus (pineapple)
Lineage: Eukaryota; Viridiplantae; Streptophyta; Magnoliopsida; Poales; Bromeliaceae
Description: long non-coding RNA (ACOM_LNC044665)
Source: RNAcentral
UUUUAUAUUUACUGAUUUCAUCAAAAUUUUAUAUUUUUUAUUUGAAUAUCCGCAUGGUUGAAUUAUAAUAUUUUUUUUGAUAUUAUGUGGUCGGCGAGAAUAGAGCAUUAAUAAAUUUUCUUUAUAAAACCGAUCAUAUCCAGCACAGUUAGCUAGGAAUUUGAUCAUUGGUAUCCAAUAUCUCAAGUUCAUAGCAUGUUUAAUUCAAAUUUCUAUUAAAUUUAUUUUAAAAAAAAU